RNAcentral lists this transfer RNA (55 nucleotides) under Trichocolea tomentella. RNAcentral describes it as "partial tRNA-Leu". It matches the Rfam family "tRNA", at positions 29 to 71 of the family's 71-position model. From Rfam's summary of the family: Transfer RNA (tRNA) molecules are approximately 80 nucleotides in length. Their secondary structure includes four short double-helical elements and three loops (D, anti-codon, and T loops). Further hydrogen bonds mediate the characteristic L-shaped molecular structure. tRNAs have two regions of fundamental functional importance: the anti-codon, which is responsible for specific mRNA codon recognition, and the 3' end, to which the tRNAs corresponding amino acid is attached (by aminoacyl-tRNA synthetases). tRNAs cope with the degeneracy of the genetic code in two manners: having more than one tRNA (with a specific anti-codon) for a particular amino acid; and 'wobble' base-pairing, i.e. permitting non-standard base-pairing at the 3rd anti-codon position. The record is from RNAcentral. Lineage: Eukaryota; Viridiplantae; Streptophyta; Jungermanniopsida; Jungermanniales; Trichocoleaceae. RNAcentral also lists the same sequence under 30 other names.
GACUUAAAAUCCGUUGGCUUUUUAGACCGUGAGGGUUCAAGUCCCUCUACCCCCA